Molecule: ribosomal RNA, 493 nt
Filed under: uncultured bacterium
Lineage: Bacteria
Description: bacterial SSU rRNA
Rfam family: Bacterial small subunit ribosomal RNA
Source: RNAcentral
GAACGCUAGCGGCAGGCUAACACAUGCAAGUCGAGGGGCAACGCGAAUAGCAAUACUUGGCGGCGACCGGCGCAAGGGUGCGUAACGCGUGAGCAACAUGCCCGUAUCAGGGGGAUAAUCCAGGGAAACUUGGUCUAAUACCCCAUAGUAAUUUUGUAAGGCAUCUUAUAAGAUUUAAAGCUUUGGUGGAUACGGAUUGGCUCGCGUGACAUUAGCUGGAUGGUAAGGUAACGGCUUACCAUGGCUAUGAUGUCUAGGGGUUCUGAGAGGAAGGUCCCCCACACUGGAACUGAGACACGGUCCAGACUCCUACGGGAGGCAGCAGUGAGGAAUAUUGGACAAUGGAUGGAAAUCUGAUCCAGCCAUGCCGCGUGGAAAGGAAGAAGGUCCUAUGGAUUGUAAACUUCUUUUGUAUGGGAGCAAUAAGGCCUACGAGUAGGUUGAUGAGAGUACCAUACGAAUAAGCACCGGCUAACUCCGUGCCAGCCGCCGC